GAUGAAGAACGUAGCGAAAUGCGAUAAGUAAUGUGAAUUGCAGAAUUCAGUGAAUCAUCGAAUCUUUGAACGCACAUUGCGCCCGCUAGUAUUCUGGCGGGCAUGCCUGUCCGAGCGUCAUUAUCACCCCUCAAGCCCCCUUGGCUUGGUGUUGGACGGUUUUGGUGGGGACGUGCAGCCUCUCACCCCUCCUAAAGACAAUGACGGCGGCGUCGUUGGGACCCCCGGUACACUGAGCUUCUUAACUGAGCACGUACUGGACGCGGGUACGCGACGCACGGUCUGCCUCCCCUUUAAGGGAGAACUUUUUCUUAAGGUUGACCUCGGAUCAGGUAGGAAUACCCGCUGAACUUAAGCAUAUCAAUAAGCGGAGGA
Molecule: unclassified non-coding RNA, 375 nt
Filed under: soil metagenome
Description: partial contains 5.8S ribosomal RNA, internal transcribed spacer 2, and large subunit ribosomal RNA
Rfam family: 5.8S ribosomal RNA (bases 1-120)
Source: RNAcentral